Molecule: ribosomal RNA, 555 nt
Filed under: Naganishia albidosimilis
Lineage: Eukaryota; Fungi; Basidiomycota; Tremellomycetes; Filobasidiales; Filobasidiaceae
Description: eukaryotic LSU rRNA
Rfam family: Eukaryotic large subunit ribosomal RNA
Source: RNAcentral
AGCGGGAAGAGCUCAAAUUUGAAAUCUGGUAGCCUUCGGUUGCCCGAGUUGUAAUCUAGAGAAAUGUUUUCCGUGCCGGCCCAUGUACAAGUCCCUUGGAACAGGGCGUCAUAGAGGGUGAGAAUCCCGUCCUUGACAUGGACCCCCGGUGCUUUGUGAUACAUUUUCAACGAGUCGAGUUGUUUGGGAAUGCAGCUCAAAAUGGGUGGUGAAUUCCAUCUAAAGCUAAAUAUUGGCGAGAGACCGAUAGCGAACAAGUACCGUGAGGGAAAGAUGAAAAGCACUUUGGAAAGAGAGUUAAACAGUACGUGAAAUUGUUGAAAGGGAAACGAUUGAAGUCAGUCAUGCUCUUUGGUAUUUAUAUCAUUGAGUGGGGUCAACAUCAGUUUUGAUCGAUGGAUAAAGGCGCUAGGAAGGUAGCACUCUCGGGUGAACUUAUAGCCUAGCGUCAUAUACAUUGAUUGGGACUGAGGAACGCAGCAUGCCUUUAUGGCCGGGAUUCGUCCACGUACAUGCUUAGGAUGUUGACAUAAUGGCUUUAAACGACCCGUCUUG